Molecule: ribosomal RNA, 474 nt
Filed under: uncultured organism
Description: partial 16S ribosomal RNA
Rfam family: Bacterial small subunit ribosomal RNA
Source: RNAcentral
UACACUCCUGCGGGAGGCAGCAGUGGGGAAUAUUGCACAAUGGGCGCAAGCCUGAUGCAGCCAUGCCGCGUGUAUGAAGAAGGCCUUCGGGUUGUAAAGUACUUUCAGCGGGGAGGAAGGCGAUAAGGUUAAUAACCUUGUCGAUUGACGUUACCCGCAGAAGAAGCACCGGCUAACUCCGUGCCAGCAGCCGCGGUAAUACGGAGGGUGCAAGCGUUAAUCGGAAUUACUGGGCGUAAAGCGCACGCAGGCGGUCUGUCAAGUCGGAUGUGAAAUCCCCGGGCUCAACCUGGGAACUGCAUUCGAAACUGGCAGGCUAGAGUCUUGUAGAGGGGGGUAGAAUUCCAGGUGUAGCGGUGAAAUGCGUAGAGAUCUGGAGGAAUACCGGUGGCGAAGGCGGCCCCCUGGACAAAGACUGACGCUCAGGUGCGAAAGCGUGGGGAGCAAACAGGAUUAGAAACCCUAGUAGUCCCA